RNAcentral lists this ribosomal RNA (497 nucleotides) under uncultured bacterium. RNAcentral describes it as "partial 16S ribosomal RNA". It matches the Rfam family "Bacterial small subunit ribosomal RNA", at positions 28 to 507 of the family's 1533-position model. The record is from RNAcentral.
GAUGAACGCUGGCGGCGUGCCUAAUACAUGCAAGUCGAGCGAACAGACGAGGAGCUUGCUCCUCUGACGUUAGCGGCGGACGGGUGAGUAACACGUGGAUAGCCUACCUAUAAGACUGGGAUAACUUCGGGAAACCGGAGCUAAUACCGGAUAAUAUAUUGAACCGCAUGGUUCAAUAGUGAAAGACGGUUUUGCUGUCACUUAUAGAUGGAUCCGCGCCGCAUUAGCUAGUUGGUAAGGUAACAGCUUACCAAGGCAACGAUGCGUAGCCGACCUGAGAGGGUGAUCGGCCACACUGGAACUGAGACACGGUCCAGACUCCUACGGGAGGCAGCAGUAGGGAAUCUUCCGCAAUGGGCGAAAGCCUGACGGAGCAACGCCGCGUGAGUGAUGAAGGUCUUCGGAUCGUAAAACUCUGUUAUUAGGGAAGAACAAAUGUGUAAGUAACUAUGCACGUCUUGACGGUACCUAAUCAGAAAGCCACGGCUAACUACGUG